Molecule: non-coding RNA, 21 nt
Organism: Caenorhabditis elegans
Lineage: Eukaryota; Metazoa; Nematoda; Chromadorea; Rhabditida; Rhabditidae
Source: Ensembl
UGGAUGAUUGAAUUGCAAUUU